RNAcentral lists this ribosomal RNA (444 nucleotides) under uncultured bacterium. RNAcentral describes it as "bacterial SSU rRNA". It matches the Rfam family "Bacterial small subunit ribosomal RNA", at positions 354 to 796 of the family's 1533-position model. The record is from RNAcentral.
GUGAGGAAUAUUGGUCAAUGGACGUAAGUCUGAACCAGCCAAGUCGCGUGAGGGAAGACUGCCCUAUGGGUUGUAAACCUCUUUUAUAAGGGAAGAAUAAGUUCUACGUGUAGAAUGAUGCCUGUACCUUAUGAAUAAGCAUCGGCUAACUCCGUGCCAGCAGCCGCGGUAAUACGGAGGAUGCGAGCGUUAUCCGGAUUUAUUGGGUUUAAAGGGUGCGUAGGCGGUUUAUUAAGUUAGUGGUUAAAUAUUUGAGCUAAACUCAAUUGUGCCAUUAAUACUGGUAAACUGGAGUACAGACGAGGUAGGCGGAAUAAGUUAAGUAGCGGUGAAAUGCAUAGAUAUAACUUAGAACUCCGAUAGCGAAGGCAGCUUACCAGACUGUAACUGACGCUGAUGCACGAGAGCGUGGGUAGCGAACAGGAUUAGAAACCCCAGUAGUCC